RNAcentral lists this transfer RNA (85 nucleotides) under Streptomyces flavofungini. Its description in RNAcentral is "tRNA-Gly". Lineage: Bacteria; Bacillati; Actinomycetota; Actinomycetes; Kitasatosporales; Streptomycetaceae. The record is from RNAcentral.
CGCGGGCGGCGGGCCGGGGGCCGUCGUCCGCCCCCGCCGGACGGGCGGAGUUCCGCCUCGGGGCGUUCGACGAGCUGCCCCUGGC